ACUCCUACGGGAGGCAGCAGUGGGGAAUAUUGCACAAUGGGCGCAAGCCUGAUGCAGCCAUGCCGCGUGUGUGAAGAAGGCCUUCGGGUUGGUAAAUGCACUUUCAGUCGUGAGGAAGGUAGUGUAGUUAAUAGCUGCAUUAUUUGACGUUAGCGACAGAAGAAGCACCGGCUAACUCCGUGCCCAGNACCGCGGAAUACGGAGGGUGCGAGCCGUUAAUCGGAAUUACUGGGCGUAAAGCGCAUGCAGGUGGUUUGUUAAGUCAGAUGUGAAAGCCCGGGGCUCAACCUCGGAAUUGCAUUUGAAACUGGCAGACUAGAGUACUGUAGAGGGGGGUAGAA
This 341-nucleotide ribosomal RNA is filed under the name uncultured bacterium. RNAcentral's name for it is "bacterial SSU rRNA". It matches the Rfam family "Bacterial small subunit ribosomal RNA", at positions 335 to 666 of the family's 1533-position model. The record is from RNAcentral.